UGGGGAAUAUUGCACAAUGGGCGCAAGCCUGAUGCAGCGACGCCGCGUGGAGGAUGAAGGUUUUCGGAUUGUAAACUCCUGUUAAGUGGGAAGAAAGACACUGACCUAAUACGUCAGUGGGAUGACGGUACCACUAGAGAAAGCACCGGCAAACUUCGUGCCAGCAGCCGCGGUAAUACGAAGGGUGCUAGCGUUAUUCGGAAUCACUGGGCGUAAAGAGCGUGUAGGCGGUCUGUUAAGUCAACUGUUAAAUUACCCAGCUUAACUGGGUAUCCGCAGGUGAAACUGGCAGGCUCGAGUGCGAGAGAGAGAAGUGGAAUUGUCGGAGUAGCGGUAAAAUGCGUAGAUCUCGACAGGAACACCGGUUGCGAAGGCGGCUUCUUGGCUCGUAACUGACGCUAAAGCGCGAAAGCGUGGGGAGCAAACAGG
Molecule: ribosomal RNA, 429 nt
Filed under: uncultured bacterium
Lineage: Bacteria
Description: bacterial SSU rRNA
Rfam family: Bacterial small subunit ribosomal RNA
Source: RNAcentral